This 141-nucleotide ribosomal RNA is filed under the name uncultured bacterium. Its description in RNAcentral is "partial 16S rRNA". It matches the Rfam family "Bacterial small subunit ribosomal RNA", at positions 355 to 511 of the family's 1533-position model. The record is from RNAcentral.
UGGGGAAUUUUCCGCAAUGGGCGAAAGCCUGACGGAGCAAUGCCGCGUGGAGGUGGAAGGCUUACGGGUCGUCAACUUCUUUUCUCGGAGAAGAAACAAUGACGGUAUCUGAGGAAUAAGCAUCGGCUAACUCUGUGCCAG